CAAUAGCGUAUAUUAAAGUUGUUGCGGUUAAAAAGCUCGUAGUUGGAGUUCUGCCAGGUGCCGCCUGUCCGCCCCAGUGGUGAGUACGUGGCGCGCAUUUGGCCCUUUCAAGGGGAGCGUAUCUGCACUUUAUUGUGUGGUGCGGGAUCCUUGACUUUUACUUUGAGGAAAUAGGAGUGUUCCAAGCAGGCUCUCGUCGUGCACAGCUCAGCAUGGAAUAAUAGCAUUGGACCUCGAUUCUAAGCUGUUGGUUGCCAGAAGCGAGGUAAUGAUGAAGAGGGAUAGUUGGGGGCAUUCGUAUUUAACUGUCAGAGGUGAAAUUCUUGGAUUUAUGAAAGACGAACUUCUGCGAAAGCAUUUGUCAAGGAUGUUUUCAUUAA
This 380-nucleotide ribosomal RNA is filed under the name uncultured eukaryote. RNAcentral describes it as "partial 18S ribosomal RNA". It matches the Rfam family "Eukaryotic small subunit ribosomal RNA", at positions 592 to 976 of the family's 1831-position model. The record is from RNAcentral.